Molecule: non-coding RNA, 231 nt
Organism: Pelobates cultripes (western spadefoot toad)
Lineage: Eukaryota; Metazoa; Chordata; Amphibia; Anura; Pelobatidae
Source: the annotation of a GenBank genome assembly
GAUGCCCAUUUUGUAUUUGACUAUAAAUUGGAUACCACUAGGGAAAAACUAAAGUGUUCAGAUUCUAAUGCAUCAUCUAAAACAGCACAGUCGUGUUCUCCCAUUUUAUAUUCUUUUGGACUAUAUGAUUUCUGGAGAGUAUUCAAUUUUGGAGUAAAAGACUAUACAUAGUACUCACAAUCUUGUAAUAAGUACUCCCGAAUUGAUAGAUUUAUUGUAGAUAACAAUGUG